UAUUCAGCCCAACUUGGACUUGGAGAAACGAGCCCAGAUCCUACGGAGGCAGCAGUGGGGAAUUUGGACAAUGGGGGCAACCCUGAUUCCAGCCAUGCGCUGGAGGUGAAAGAAGCUUCGGUUGUAAGCUCUUUCGGACGGAAAGAAAUCGCGCAGGUAAUAUCUGCGUGGAUGACGGUACCGUAAGAGAGCACGGCUAACUACGUGCCAGCAGCCGCGGUAAUACGUAGGGUGCGAGCGUUAAUCGGAAUUACUGGGCGUAAAGCGUGCGCAGGCGGCUUUGUAAGACAGGUGUGAAAUCCCCGGGCUUAACCUGGGAAUGGCGCUUGUGACUGCAAGGCUCGAGUGCGGCAGAGGGGGGUGGAAUUCCACGUGUAGCAGUGAAAUGCGUAGAGAUGUGGAGGAACACCGAUGGCGAAGGCAGCCCCCUGGGUCGACACUGACGCUCAUGCACGAAAGCGUGGGGAGCAAACAGGAUUAGAUACCCUGGUAGUCCACGCCCUAAACGAUGCCAACUAGUUGUUGGGGAAGGAGACUUCCUUAGUAACGAAGCUAACGCGUGAAGUUGGCCGCCUGGGGAGUACGGUCGCAAGAUUAAAACUCAAAGGAAUUGACGGGGACCCGCACAAGCGGUGGAUGAUGUGGAUUAAUUCGAUGCAACGCGAAAAACCUUACCUACCC
RNAcentral lists this ribosomal RNA (681 nucleotides) under uncultured bacterium. RNAcentral describes it as "bacterial SSU rRNA". It matches the Rfam family "Bacterial small subunit ribosomal RNA", at positions 301 to 980 of the family's 1533-position model. The record is from RNAcentral.